This is a long non-coding RNA of Micropterus salmoides (largemouth bass), 351 nucleotides long. RefSeq lists it as uncharacterized. NCBI's taxonomy places the organism in Eukaryota, Metazoa, Chordata, Actinopteri, Centrarchiformes, Centrarchidae. The record is from RefSeq and is a predicted model, not a curated record. The transcript is spliced from 3 exons.
AUUGCAUUAAUUAGGCUGGUGACUGGUCACAGGCUUACACAAUAAAAUAAACAGUCAAUGCUGUCAGCGUCAUGAAAACAACUUCAUUUCCUUAGAGCCGUUUAGACCAUUGUUUAAGGUGAAUGUCAUUUCCAUUAGGUUAAAAAGGAACUGGAUGACUGCAGGACCUUCAUAGUGAAGGAUUUGGCUGCAGCACAGACAUUACCUGAGAAGCUUCAAAUCAUGCCCUUUAACGAUGAGAAACUACCCACAAUGCUCGCCGUGGCUGGAGAAUGGAGGCCGUCUUUGUCCAGGGCUGUGGCAGUCUUCUGUACUUCCUCUGCAGCCGCACUCGAAGCCAUUAUUGUACUU